This is a long non-coding RNA of Cicer arietinum (chickpea), 2434 nucleotides long. RefSeq lists it as uncharacterized. Lineage: Eukaryota; Viridiplantae; Streptophyta; Magnoliopsida; Fabales; Fabaceae. The record is from RefSeq and is a predicted model, not a curated record.
AUCUAUUUCUUCACGUCUCUCCUUAGUACUUAUUCAUGUGUCCUCGUUAAAAAGAUACGAAUAUUCAUGAUGUUGCUGUCAUUAUUAUUGUCAGAAAAAUUGUAGAAUGAGAAUGAUUAACCGAGUGUUGUUUAGUCUUCCUAUCUCCAUAUUUAUUUAUACUGAAAAUUAAAGCACAAUAACCUCCUUUGUGCCCAAAAAAGAAAAGAAAAUUAAAGCACAAUAUAGGAGGGAUGAUGAACCCAGCUUUAUAAAAUAUAUAGCAAACUAAUUAAUCUUUUGUGGACAAUUGACCCCAUUCCUCUAUGACUUGAUACACACCGUCCACAUCAAUUCAAAUGUAACUUGUGCCAUUGCCUGAUAUUCUUAGACUAGAUCAAGUUACAACACUGCCUCUUCUCUGAUAAAUGGGGUUGUUUUCAAGAAGAACACCGUGGUUAUAAGUGGAUCCUAACAAAAGGGGAUCAACGCAGUCAGCAUAAGUGAAGCUCGUAAUAUUGGCAUGUCCAUGACCUUUACACCAAAGAUAACAAUGCAAACUAGGUAAAUAACAUCUUUGACUCUUUUAGUGGGGAGAGUAUCCUAAUAAAAUACACCAGAGAGAAUGAGUAUCCAACUAAGAGACUUGAAAAUGAACAUUCUAUAUAAAGCAUGUCCAAUAAAAAAAAUCUAAGAGGAAAAGCAAAUAAGGAUUAAGAUGGAAAGAGUCAAAGUAAGGAAUUGGACCAUCUAUAGCAAAAGAAGGUAGUUGAUCGACUCAAUAACAUGCUGUAGAAACUGCAUCAAUUUGAAAAGGUUUAGAGACUUCCAUUUGAAACAAAAGAGCCUGGGAAACUUAAAAUAAGUGUCUGAUUUUUCUUUGAGCCUCCAUAUUUUUGUUGAGAAGUGAUGAAGAUACAUGGUGUUUAACGAAUGGUGCUGAAACUUUUGCAUGGAUGUGUAAAGCCAUGUAGCAUGAGAGUAAUCAUCUACAAAGCAUACAAGUGAACAACCAAAAAAUGAGAUAGGUUUCCAAAAUAGGAUACAACUUCUUCAAGGUCUUUAGGGGAGGAUGUACAACACGACAAUGUAGAUGAACAACUUACUGCUGUGGCAGCUAUUAUUUCUGUAAAAUAUUUAUGUUUAGAGACCAUCUAUAGCAAAAGAAGGUAGUUGAUCGACUCAAUAACAUGCUGUAGAAACUGCAUCAAUUUGAAAAGGUUUAGAGACUUCCAUUUGAAACAAAAGAGCCUGGGAAACUUAAAGUAAGUGUCUGAUUUUUCUUUGAGCCUCCAUAUUUUUGUUGAGAAGUGAUGAAGAUACAUGGUGUUUCACGAAUGAUGCUGAAACUUUUGCAUGGAUGUGUAAAGCCAUGUAGCACGAGAGUAAUCAUCUACAGAGCAUACAAGUGAACAACCAAAAAAUGAGGUGCACCCAUUUAUUGACUCUAGGUGAAUAAGUUUCUUGAUGGUGUUUACUGCUUAGAAAACUAACAAACUCACUAUUUAAAUAAAAUAGGAUACAACUUCUUCAAGGUAUUUAGGGGAGGAUGUACAACACGACAAUGUAGAUGAACAACUUACUGCUGUGGCAGCUAUUAUUUGUGUAAAAUAUUUAUGUGUUUCUUGUGUCUCAAAUGAGAUCACACACCUUCCUAUUUAUAAUGAUGCUGCAAUAAUUAUAUUCAAUGUCUAGGAAAUUGUAUUAACUAGGACUACUAACAAUUGGCCUAGGUUGUUGCACAAUCAAGGAAUAAUUAAAACAUAUACUGAAUUUUAACACUCCCUCUCAAGUUAAAGCGUACUAUGCUUUAAGUUUGUUACAUCAAAACAUUUUAUCCCAAAAAAAAAAAAAACUAAAGUUGACAACUGUUGGACUAGUUUGAGAAGAGAAGGGACCAUUAAUGAUUCAUGUUUGAAGAGUCACAACUGGAUUGAUCAUUGGUGGGAAUAAAACGCACCACUAAUAUGAUUCAUAUGUGGGAAUAGAGUCACCACCGAAUUGAUCAUCGGUGGGAAUUAAAGGCACCGCUAGUUUGAUUCAUAUGUGGGAAUAGAGUCACCACUAGAUUGAUCAUUGGUGGGAAUAAAAUGAUUGUUUGGGCAAAUGGUCCCUUGUCCAUGAAACUAAGUUAUUACAACAACAAAUACAAUGCGGAAAAGGGGAGUUGAAAUUUGAGAGGUUGCUGAAAAAUCACCAAAUCAUGAAAAGACCUGCAGAAGGUGGCCGAAGAUAGGUGCAUGCGCUCUCACGCAUAGAGAAGACAUACAUGCGUGGGACCCACACAUAGGGAAGACGGACAUGCGUGACAGUAUGUGCAAUGUCAGUUGGCGAUGGGAAAAGCAUCUUCGUGCUCGUCAGAGGAUUGCGUGGCGGUGUUUGUUGGUUUUGGAUGCACACUAGAAAAUGGGCAGCUGGUGUUGGCACCACUGUAACAGAGUAAAAAAAAAAGGAA